Molecule: ribosomal RNA, 318 nt
Filed under: Alexandrium tamarense
Lineage: Eukaryota; Dinophyceae; Gonyaulacales; Pyrocystaceae
Description: partial Bacterial large subunit ribosomal RNA
Rfam family: Bacterial large subunit ribosomal RNA
Source: RNAcentral
ACGGAGGCGGCGGUUGACUGCGUGCUGAUGGAAUAGCACGUUAAAGAGAUGACGUUGGGAGUGUAGUGAAGUACGCACUCUACAGGAGUCUCGAAAGUACUAGAAGCUCGUUAGAGUGGAUAGAUAAUGUCAUUAGUCAUACUUCCAAGAAAAGCUGCUAAGCUAUAGGUUACAGGAACCCGUACCGUAAACCGACACAGGUGGUCGAGGAGAGUAUCCUAAGGUGCACGAGAGAAUCAUGGCUAAGGAACUAGGCAAAAUGGUCUCGUAACUUCGGGAGAAGAGACGCUCCGAGAGGAGCCGCAGUGAAGAGGCCCA